Molecule: transfer RNA, 65 nt
Filed under: Cryptocercus pudacuoensis
Lineage: Eukaryota; Metazoa; Arthropoda; Insecta; Blattodea; Cryptocercidae
Description: tRNA-Cys
Source: RNAcentral
GGCUUUAUAUUCAUUCAAUGAUAUUAGAAUGCAAUUCUAAUGGUGUAAUAUUAUUUCUAAGGCUU